AUACGGAGGGUGCAAGCGUUACUCGGAAUCAUUGGGUUUAAAGGGUCCGUAGGUGGAUAAUUAAGUCAGAGGUGAAAUCCUGCAGCUCAACUGUAGAAUUGCCUUUGAUACUGGUUAUCUUGAGUUAUUAUGAAGUAGUUAGAAUAUGUAGUGUAGCGGUGAAAUGCAUAGAUAUUACAUAGAAUACCGAUUGCGAAGGCAGAUUACUAAUAAUAUACUGACACUGAGGGACGAAAGCGUGGGGAGCGAACAGGAUUAGAAACCCCAGUAGUCC
This 274-nucleotide ribosomal RNA is filed under the name uncultured bacterium. RNAcentral's name for it is "partial 16S ribosomal RNA". It matches the Rfam family "Bacterial small subunit ribosomal RNA", at positions 523 to 796 of the family's 1533-position model. The record is from RNAcentral.